AGAGUUUGAUCAUGGCUCAGGACGAACGCUGGCGGCGUGCUUAACACAUGCAAGUCGAGCGGAAAGGCCCUUCGGGGUACUCGAGCGGCGAACGGGUGAGUAACACGUGAGCAACCUGCCCCUGGCUCUGGGAUAGCCUCCGGAAACGGGGAUUAAUACCGGACAUGACCUGGGAGGGCAUCCUCCAAGGUGGAAAGUUU
RNAcentral lists this ribosomal RNA (200 nucleotides) under uncultured bacterium. RNAcentral describes it as "partial 16S ribosomal RNA". It matches the Rfam family "Bacterial small subunit ribosomal RNA", at positions 8 to 210 of the family's 1533-position model. The record is from RNAcentral.